This 1004-nucleotide ribosomal RNA is filed under the name Sanguibacter inulinus. RNAcentral's name for it is "bacterial SSU rRNA". It matches the Rfam family "Bacterial small subunit ribosomal RNA", at positions 53 to 1068 of the family's 1533-position model. Lineage: Bacteria; Bacillati; Actinomycetota; Actinomycetes; Micrococcales; Sanguibacteraceae. The record is from RNAcentral.
ACCAUGCAAGUCGAACGGUGAUAUCGGAGCUUGCUCUGGUUGAUCAGUGGCGAACGGGUGAGUAACACGUGAGUAACCUGCCCUUGACUCUGGGAUAACUCCGGGAAACCGGGGCUAAUACCGGAUACGAGACGCGACCGCAUGGUCGGCGUCUGGAAAGUUUUUCGGUCAAGGAUGGACUCGCGGCCUAUCAGCUUGUUGGUGAGGUAAUGGCUCACCAAGGCGUCGACGGGUAGCCGGCCUGAGAGGGCGACCGGCCACACUGGGACUGAGACACGGCCCAGACUCCUACGGGAGGCAGCAGUGGGGAAUAUUGCACAAUGGGCGAAAGCCUGAUGCAGCGACGCCGCGUGAGGGAUGAAGGCCUUCGGGUUGUAAACCUCUUUCAGUAGGGAAGAAGCGAAAGUGACGGUACCUGCAGAAGAAGCGCCGGCUAACUACGUGCCAGCAGCCGCGGUAAUACGUAGGGCGCAAGCGUUGUCCGGAAUUAUUGGGCGUAAAGAGCUCGUAGGCGGUUUGUCGCGUCUGGUGUGAAAACUCAAGGCUCAACCUUGAGCUUGCAUCGGGUACGGGCAGACUAGAGUGUGGUAGGGGUGACUGGAAUUCCUGGUGUAGCGGUGGAAUGCGCAGAUAUCAGGAGGAACACCGAUGGCGAAGGCAGGUCACUGGGCCACUACUGACGCUGAGGAGCGAAAGCAUGGGGAGCGAACAGGAUUAGAUACCCUGGUAGUCCAUGCCGUAAACGUUGGGCACUAGGUGUGGGGCUCAUUCCACGAGUUCCGCGCCGCAGCUAACGCAUUAAGUGCCCCGCCUGGGGAGUACGGCCGCAAGGCUAAAACUCAAAGGAAUUGACGGGGGCCCGCACAAGCGGCGGAGCAUGCGGAUUAAUUCGAUGCAACGCGAAGAACCUUACCAAGGCUUGACAUACACCGGAAUCAUGCAGAGAUGUGUGCGUCUUCCGACUGGUGUACAGGUGGUGCAUGGUUGUCGUCAGCUCUUGCCUG